GACGGAGGAUGCAAGCGUUAUCCGGAAUGAUUGGGCGUAAAGCGUCUGCAGGUGGCAGUUCAAGUAUGCUGUCAAAGACCGGGGCUUAACUUCGGAAAGGCAGUGGAAACUGAACAGCUAGAGUAUGUUAGGGGCAGAGGGAAUUCCUGGUGUAGCGGUGAAAUGCGCAGAUAUCAGGAGGAACACCAAUGGCGAAGGCAGCACUCUGGGACGUGACUGACGCUGAGACGCGAAAGCGUGGGGAGCAAACAGG
RNAcentral lists this ribosomal RNA (253 nucleotides) under uncultured bacterium. RNAcentral's name for it is "partial 16S ribosomal RNA". It matches the Rfam family "Bacterial small subunit ribosomal RNA", at positions 524 to 776 of the family's 1533-position model. The record is from RNAcentral.